RNAcentral lists this unclassified non-coding RNA (253 nucleotides) under uncultured Bacillaceae bacterium. Its description in RNAcentral is "contains 16S-23S intergenic spacer region". It matches the Rfam family "Bacterial small subunit ribosomal RNA", at positions 524 to 776 of the family's 1533-position model. The record is from RNAcentral. Lineage: Bacteria; Bacillati; Bacillota; Bacilli; Caryophanales; Bacillaceae.
UACGUAGGUGGCAAGCGUUGUCCGGAAUUAUUGGGCGUAAAGCGCGCGCAGGCGGUUUCUUAAGUCUGAUGUGAAAGCCCGCAGCUCAACUGUGGAGGGUCAUUGGAAACUGGGGAACUUGAGUGCAGAAGAGGAAAGCGGAAUUCCAUGUGUAGCGGUGAAAUGCGUAGAGAUAUGGAGGAACACCAGUGGCGAAGGCGGCUUUCUGGUCUGCAACUGACGCUGAGGCGCGAAAGCGUGGGGAGCGAACAGG